Molecule: ribosomal RNA, 326 nt
Filed under: uncultured eukaryote
Lineage: Eukaryota
Description: partial 18S ribosomal RNA
Rfam family: Eukaryotic small subunit ribosomal RNA
Source: RNAcentral
CCCUUAGAUGUUCUGGGCCGCACGCGCGCUACACUGACGGAGGCAGCGAGCAUGUCCUUCGCCGAGAGGUGUGGGGAAUCUUGUGAGUCUCCGUCGUGCUGGGGAUAGAUGGUUGCAAUUGUCGAUCUUGAACGAGGAAUUCCUAGUAAGCGCGAGUCAUCAGCUCGCGCUGAUUACGUCCCUGCCCUUUGUACACACCGCCCGUCGCUCCUACCGAUUGGGUGUGCGGGUGAAAUGUUCGGAUCGGCCGUUUGUCGCGGUUUCCGCGUCAUGUGGCUGAGAAGUUCAUUAAACCCUCCCACCUAGAGGAAGGAGAAGUCGUAACA